This 285-nucleotide unclassified non-coding RNA is filed under the name Cyphellophora livistonae. Its description in RNAcentral is "Phialophora livistonae partial internal transcribed spacer region". The stretch from base 1 to 46 matches the Rfam family "Eukaryotic small subunit ribosomal RNA", at positions 1786 to 1831 of the family's 1831-position model. Lineage: Eukaryota; Fungi; Ascomycota; Eurotiomycetes; Chaetothyriales; Cyphellophoraceae. The record is from RNAcentral.
AAGUCGUAACAAGGUUUCCGUAGGUGAACCUGCGGAAGGAUCAUUACCGAGUUAGGGUGUCGCCUCGGCGCGCCCGACCUCCCAACCCUUUGUCUACCUUACCACAACGUUGCUUCGGCAGGCCCGCCGACCCCUGGAGUCCGCUCUAGGGCGAGGCCGCCGGGGGCUCUGUGCCCCGGGCCCGUGCCUGUCGAUGGCCCCUUCUUAAACUCAUGUCUAAACGUGUCGUCUGAGCAAUAAUUAUAAUGCAAACCAAAACUUUCAACAACGGAUCUCUUGGUUCUG